This 774-nucleotide ribosomal RNA is filed under the name Triticum aestivum (bread wheat). RNAcentral describes it as "partial small subunit ribosomal RNA". Lineage: Eukaryota; Viridiplantae; Streptophyta; Magnoliopsida; Poales; Poaceae. The record is from RNAcentral.
AUGGAGAAGACAGCGAAGAAGGCAGCUAGGAAGGCGGAUAAGGGAGACAAGACAGACAAGGCACUUUGGGAUGCAUACCAUAAUAGGAUAUUUUGCGAGUUGUGUGCGAGGGAAGUUGAAGCAGGCCAUAGUCUGGGGACGUUCUUGAGUCCUAGAGGAUAUAAGAAUUUGGGGGAGAGCUGGUUGCAGAUAACUAAGAAAAGUUAUGUGAGGAUGCAAUUCAAGAAUAGAUGGGAAAAUCUCAAAACUAUGUAUUGUCAAUGGAAACAAUUGCAAAUUGACGCAUCUGGACUUGGAUGGAAUGCUAAGCUAGGAACCAUUGAUGCUGAUACUGAUUGGUGGAACACUCACCUAAUGAAACACCCAGAGCAUGCAAAGUAUAGGAAUGCAGGACCACCCAACUUGGCUGAAAUGGACCUCAUGUUUGAUGACCGUCAUGUCACCGGUGCCGAGUCCGCUAUCCCCGGUGAGAUACCAUUGGACAAGGAGGAAGUCACUAUUGACGAUGACUCUGAUAGUGCAGAGGAUGAUGAUGAAGUCAUCAAAGCAAAACCAAAGAAGCAGCGCAAGACCAAGUCCUGUAAAGAUGAUUUUUCUGCUCUAGAUGAGAAGAACCCAUUUGUUCAGAUGUACAAGAAGGCUAGUGAUGCGAUAUGUGUAACGGCUGAAAGUAUAAAAGAAGCAUCUAGCUCCAGCAAGACUCAUCCUCCCCCUUCUCCUCCGGUUGCUCCUGCCCCUCCUCCUCCAGUUGGCCCUAGUAUGUACGGAUUAUGA